CAGCCCGGGAGCGGGGUGGGGGUGGGGGGACGGACGGGCUCCUCGCCCAGGGCGCCUCCGGGUUGCGCCGGGGGGAGGCGGCCCCACGGAGGCGAGCCUCUUUGUUGUGGGAAUGGGUGUCAUUGGAAGCUGACCCACCCUUCGAGGCCUGUGGGCAGCCUGAGCGCUCCACCGCCUAGUGUGCGGGGAGGAGGGAGGGAGCGUGCCUUCAUCAGGCCACUGGCUUCCUAGCGUCGGCCGCCCCUUGCCUGAGCGCCUACUGUGUGCCGGCUUCCCGGGAAACAGGUCUUCCCGCCUCCCUGGUUGGGCAGUGCCCGCCCCGAGCAUGCGGCCCCUCCGGAAAGCUUGGGCGGGUCGGGGUGUUGCGGGGAGAGGCUCACUCGCGCCAGGUGUGCGGGGAGCGUGCGAAGCCCCGCCCUUGGGGCCCGCAGGUGGCGAUGAUGACUGAGAAAUAACAAUCGCGAGAGGACCGGGAGUACCAGCCUUUACUGCCUGCCGGGUGCCCCGUCUCUCGUCCUCCCUACAACGACCCCCAGCAGGAGCGGACCGUCUUUUCCUGGUUCAUACGUAGGGAAACUGAGGCACCGACAGGGCAGGUGACCUCUGAGCCGAUCGGGGCGUGGGCCAGCGCCCUCAUCCAGCACUCCGGGGAGAGGUGCAGGCGUCGAGGUUGCCGCCGGCGGGCGGAUGCACGGAGGCGGCGCCCGAAGGGUCUCCCCCGACGCGGAGGGGCGCUCGGAGGAGGGCGCGGUUGGGCGACGUGAGCCCAACAAGUGCAAAGGCCCUGGAGCGGGGGUGGGGGGGCGGGGUUGCUAAAGACGCCGCCGCUUCCGGAACUUAGGGAAGCCCAGCGCGGCUCCUGCAGAGAGGAGGCGGGCAGGGCCGGCGGGUCCACCUAUUCCCGGAGGAGCCCCACGUCUCCUUUGGCUUCCUCUGCAUCCCCCAGGGCCUGGCCCCGAGUAGGCCGACCGGAAAGGACGGUUCCGCGGGGCGUGUGGGUGACCGCACGGACUGUGGGCCGAGGAACCUCAUUAUUCCUCCCCCUUGACCUUGGGUGGCAGACAGGACGCUCAUUAGCCCCUUCCGCAGGUGGCCCACUGAGGCGCAGGGAUUUGCUGAGGGCAGGUAUCUAACAGGUGGAGGCGGGGCUAGACCUUUAACACCGGAGCUCCUCCCACUGGCCUCGCCUUCCCGCCGGGGAAGCCCACCCGGUGGGGUCCGGACCAGGGAAGCCUCCCCAGGCUUCGGUUGAAGCACAGCCAAGCACGUUGCCCUGCCCUUGCUGCCUUUUCACUCCAAAAGCCUCAGGGCCAUCGGUGACCUCAGACGUUGUCAUGCCACCUUCUUUGCAAGCCCGGCAGGAAUGAUUUGCUUUGGUUUCAUUAGCUUCUGAUUGAUCGCUAAAGUUUUUUUCCAAGAUUUUCAAGGGUGCUUGGCUCCGGAUACUCAAAUUGCAUCCCACUGAGACUGGCUUUGCCACCCCGUUUCCUCACCGGAUACCCGAGGGAGGCGAGCACAGUGGGCACCACAGCCCUGUGUGGGUCCUCCUGGGCCUUGGUGCCCAGGCCUGGGCAGCACUUCACAGCCCCAAACAUCAAUGUCUCCCCACUCCAAGCUUUCCAGAGUCCACCCCGACACUGAGCCCUGAGGCUGAUGCCCAAACUCGGACCCUGUGAAGCCCCCAGACUCCCAAGAUGCUGGCAGCUCCCUUCAUCAUCUGCCCAGGGCCAGGCCAAGUGUUCCGAGCGGUGCUUUGCAAGGGAGCAGGCCGGAGAGGGCCAGUCAGGACAGAUGGUCAAACCCAGGUAUGGGCUGGUGCCCUGGUUCUGGAUCUGUCCCUCCCCCAGCUUCCCUGCAUUGCCAGCUGCUCUUCCUGCCUCAGCCGAGAGGCUCAGGGUGGGCCAGAGCCCCUGAGUUGGGGCUCAGAACCUUGAUGCAGCCAUGUUGAAGGGAGGCUGGGCUGGGCAGAGGCCACAGCCCCGAGCGGCCCUCCUGGGGGAGACUGGAAAUUCGACUUCCCUGCAGUGAGUGUGGCCGGCUGGAGGCCGCCUCCUGCCAGCUGGCAGAGGAGGGGGGAUGGGGGACAGGAAGUAAUGUGGCCAGGCACCUGCCCAGCCCCCACGUGACAGGAGCCAGUGGCAUUUACACUGGGAAGCCGCUGGAUGCCCCCGGUGGAGGUGCUAAGCCACAGAGGCACUGGGGCCCCACAGUCCAGGACCGAAGGGAAGAUAUUAACAACUCUGAAGAUAAAGACUGAGUUGGCGGAAGGGGCCCAGACCAGCCCCCGGAAGCACCAGGAGUGCCAGCCCAGCCCAGAGCUGACCUGGGAGGCGCACCCUUGUCGGGGCAUCGGCUGAGCCUGCGGAGUCUAUUCCAGCUCCCCUCCCCCCAGCAGGGCCCAGGGACACUUGAGACCCAGCCUGAUGCCCCCAAUCCUGCAUCACUCUCCAGCUCCCCUCCUUCAAAGACCAGGUUCAUCCAGUGACGGGCUGGCAGGAUUUGCCUGCUGGGAUCCUGUGCCCACAGGGAGGGCCCACAGGUCAUGUUGAGCCCAGAAUUCCAGGCUGGUUGGUGAGCGGCUUCUCAUUGUAAAGUGAUAACUUGGCUUUUGGACUCUGCCCACGCGUCUCCCCUGGUCUCCCUCCCCUGUCCGGAAGGCAGGGCUCUUCUGCUGAGAGCAGGUGGCCCUGCAGGAGGGGGAAAGGGCAGGGGACAUACCCAGAUGAUUCCGGCUCUCUGGCCGCCUAUCUGAGCACCACUAGGCCCCCCACCCCAUCCUGGCCCUCCACUGCCCACCCUGCCUUCGGUAGAUGAGCUGCCCAAGGCCAAGUCAACAGCAGCAAGAAUUUACAGCAGCUGUGAACAGGACGAGUCUGCCCUGGGUUCAAAUCCCAGCUCCACAAAUUUCCCAGCCUGUGUGAUCCUGGGAAAGUGAUGCAGCCUGUCUACACACCAUGCCCCCUCUGCGCAAAGGAGCCCUUGGACCUGCCUAAAUGGUCUCCUACAUAGCUUUAAAAUCACUUAUGUACUGAGAGGCCCAAAUUCCCAUCUCCAGCCUGCACAGCUCUGAACUUCCGACACCGCUGCUUAGCUGUGAAACAGGCACGUCAAGUGCAGCACGGCUGAAACGGACAACGCACAGGCCCACCUCCGCCUCUUGGAGAGUCUUCGCAUUGCUCAGAAGUUCGCAGGACGGUCUGAGCUGCAGUUGUGACCCACGCCACAGCUGGAGCAAUGCAGGAUCCUUUAACCCACUGUGCCAGGAAGGUUCCAAGUGUAUCACAGACAAUUUUAUUUUCCUGAACUGUGCGUUUCUGCUGAGAAGUUCCAAGACUACCAAGCAGAGUGGGGUGUGUUUCCCGGCAGAGAUAUUUAUGGUGACUUUAUUUAUAAAACCCCCAAACUGGAAACAAUGCAGAUGCUCACGAACAAAAGAAUAAAUGAAAUGUGUGAUGAAAUCCAAUGCAGAAAUAGUAAUGAAUGAGCUACAACGUGGAUGAAUUUCAAAAACAUUAUGUUGAGGUAAAAGAAGCCAGAAACCACAGAGAAAAAAUUGUGCGAUUCCAAACACGCGAUGUCCCAGAACAGAAAGAGGCUCAUCUGUGGGGAUAGAACUACGAAGCAGCAUUUGCCUCUGGGCAGGUGCGAUUGACUCGUUAGGGACCCAAGAAUUUUCUGGUAUGUUGGGAACAUUCUGUAUCUGGGGCGGGUUACCUGGAUACCUACAGCUUAAGUCUAACUUCUGUACAAAUUGCUGGAUGGAAAUACAUUCUCAAACAAGAAAGGAACAAUCUGGGCAAAGUGAAUUGAACCAGGCUGCUGCUCAAUGAAGACCUCUCCAGCUUUUCCAUGACUUGUCCGGUGGUUGAGUAAAUUUUGCAAAAUCA
Sus scrofa (pig) is the source of this 3887-nucleotide non-coding RNA. NCBI's taxonomy places the organism in Eukaryota, Metazoa, Chordata, Mammalia, Artiodactyla, Suidae. The record is from RefSeq and is a predicted model, not a curated record.